RNAcentral lists this ribosomal RNA (403 nucleotides) under uncultured bacterium. RNAcentral describes it as "partial 16S ribosomal RNA". It matches the Rfam family "Bacterial small subunit ribosomal RNA", at positions 28 to 526 of the family's 1533-position model. The record is from RNAcentral.
GACGAACGCUGGCGGCGUGCCUAAUACAUGCAAGUCGAACGCAGUGGGGACUGGUGAGUAACACGUGGGUAACCUCCCAUCAGAGGGGACAACACUUGGAAACAGGUGCUAAACCGAUACUGAUGGAUGGACCCGCGGCGCAUUAGCUAGUUGGGGAGGUAACGGCGCACCAACGCCACGAUGCAUAGCCGCGCUGAGAGGGUGGUCGGCGACACUGGGACUGAGACACGGCCCAGACGCCUACGGUAGGCAGCAGUAGGGAAUCUUCGGCAAUGGACGAAAGUCUGACCGGGCGACGCCGCGUGAGUGAAGAAGGUUUUCGGAUCGUAAGCCUCUGUUGUUAGAGAAGCGGUAUCUAACCAGAAAGCCACGGCUAACUACGUGCCAGCAGCCGCGGUAAUAC